UUGUAAUAAAUCUAUUAAUUCUGCCUCUCUUUUGAGAAUCUAAGUCCUUCACUUAACCAAAGUUUAGCAAGCAUGCCUAUAGGGUUUUCAAAUAAUUCUUUUCGAGUUUUAUUGUCAGAUAACUUUCUUAAAUCAAUAUAUAUCAUGUCUUUAGCACAUCGUCUUAAUACUUGGGCAAGCCUUAGGGUAAUGGUUAUAAACUGAACCAGUUUCCACUAAUAAUUAAAACCAGCAGGCUUGCC
Molecule: long non-coding RNA, 242 nt
Filed under: Nicotiana benthamiana
Lineage: Eukaryota; Viridiplantae; Streptophyta; Magnoliopsida; Solanales; Solanaceae
Description: long non-coding RNA (NBEN_LNC039601)
Source: RNAcentral